UGGGGAAUUUUGGACAAUGGGCGCAAGCCUGAUCCAGCCAUGCCGCGUGCGGGAAGAAGGCCUUCGGGUUGUAAACCGCUUUUGUCAGGGAAGAAAUCUUCUGAGUUAAUACCUCGGGAGGAUGACGGUACCUGAAGAAUAAGCACCGGCUAACUACGUGCCAGCAGCCGCGGUAAUACGUAGGGUGCAAGCGUUAAUCGGAAUUACUGGGCGUAAAGCGUGCGCAGGCGGUUUUGUAAGACAGAGGUGAAAUCCCCGGGCUCAACCUGGGAACUGCCUUUGUGACUGCAAGGCUUGAGUGCGGCAGAGGGGGAUGGAAUUCCGCGUGUAGCAGUGAAAUGCGUAGAUAUGCGGAGGAACACCGAUGGCGAAGGCAAUCCCCUGGGCCUGCACUGACGCUCAUGCACGAAAGCGUGGGGAGCAAAACAGGAUUAGAUACCCUGGUAGUCCACGCCCUAAACGAUGUCAACUGGUUGUUGGGAAGGUUCCUUCUCAGUAACGUAGCUAACGCGUGAAGUUGACCGCCUGGGGAGUACGGCCGCAAGGUUGAAACUUAAAUGAAUUGACGGGGU
RNAcentral lists this ribosomal RNA (572 nucleotides) under uncultured bacterium. RNAcentral's name for it is "partial 16S ribosomal RNA". It matches the Rfam family "Bacterial small subunit ribosomal RNA", at positions 355 to 919 of the family's 1533-position model. The record is from RNAcentral.